CUUCCCUGUCCCUCCCUGCCCCCUAGUUGGUGGGUGCGGGUGGAGGGUGAGGCCCUAGUUGGGCUCAGAGAUCCCGUCCCAGCUUAGGGAGGAGGGGCCUGUCCAGGGACCCUGAGUGUCAGGGACACGCCCUGUCCACCCUGGCCCCUCAGAAUUCUGUCAGCCCAUUUUGCCUUCCUUCUGUCUUGGCCCUGCUCUAGUUCUAUUUCUGUCACACACACACACACACACACACACACACGAACCCCCGCCCCAGCCGGCUUCCUGGGCUCUUCGAUGGCUCCACCCUCCCACCCCUCCCUCCUCUGCCCUUAAGUCCCUGACUCCCAGGGGAUGCUGAGUCUGGCCUGCUGUGCAGUGGACUGCUAGCUGGGGCUCUGCCGCAGGCUCUCAGGUGAGGGGCUCCGGGCGCCUGGGCUGAGGAAAGAGGGGAGACCUGCAGGCAGAACUCGCUCCAGGCUGGUGGGCGAGCCUGCUUCUCCAGAUCACUUUUCCUCACACCCUCCCUCCCACCGCGUUACAGUGGCAGAGCCUUGGAGCACCAUGGCUUCCGCUAAGGACAUCGACGAUUUCAUCAAUUCCCUCAAAGCCAAAUUGUUUCAAUUCGUGGAAUUGUUUUGUACAAACCUUCAAAAGAAGUCUAAAGAAGAGAGCAUAUGCAGUGCAGAUAUGGCUGACGCCGUGGAUGCUCAAGUUAACAACUCGGAAUCCUGUCCAUUGCUUCGUGAAACACUGCAGGAGUUGCGUCGCAGAGUCUGUGAGCCCUCUGGCUCCUACAGUCCCCCAGGCCGGAACCAGCCCUUUGACUCCUCCACUUCAAGGGAUUGGUAUGACUGGACACUUGAGCUAUUUAAAGAGCUCCUGCGGCGACUGCAGCAGAAGUUUCAGAAAGCCCUGGAGUGGCUUCAUCAGAUAGCGGCUGCCUGCCUACAGGGCUUGCGCAUAGCGGCUGAGGCCGUCUGGAGAGUGUUGAAUGAUUUUUGCUCCUCUCUGGAGCAGCUCUUCAGGAGCCUCAUCCAGGUCUAGAAGCCCCAAGGGGUCCCCAGGGAGCUUGGCCUCAUCUAGACGCCUCAAUUUCCCCUUCUCACAGGGCAUCUUCUGAUGCACCCUUUACCCUCCUGCUCACCCUUGACCCAUCCUCAUAGCCUGCCUCACCCCCUCCCCUUCAGGGAGGGCACCACCCAGCCCAUCUAACUCUCCCUGCCUGAAUUUUCCUGCACCAGGUCUGGCCUGCCUGUCACUGUAGUGCUGAUGUCCUAAUAAAAGUCAGUUGACCCAAAUGGAGUGUCUGUGUGGAUGAGAGGCUGGGGGUCGGAUGGCUACAGGCAGAGGUGGUGGGUCAGAUGGAUCCAGGUGGGGGUCCUGGUGCUGGAUGGAUAAGCAAAUGCCACUGGACUCUCUAAUCUGUAACUGGGAAUGAAGGAGGAAACAGACAGAACAGGCUCCAUCUUGCAAGCAGGACUCCAUCUUGGGUCAGACUGUGGACUUUGAGCUAUGUGCCCAGUAUCUAUGGAAACGAUGUACCAACUGGAAAACCCCCCACCGCCGAUGGAAGAGCCCCAGGGCUCGUACCUAGACUCUCCAUUGCCUAAAAGAAUUCCCUAAUUAUCUGGGUAACCAAAUAGAAUCAUGAAUUCUAUUAUGCUUAUUGGGAUAUGACCACAGGCUUAUUGAUAAUUGUCCACUGUUAACUACUUAGCUCAAGGCAUAUGAUCACAGGUUAACUUUGAUUGUAUCUUUCUUUUUCCUUUAUUUCAGACUAGUUUCAGAGAAUUUGGGGAGGUGGGUUUGAGCAUGUACAUUUAGGGUAUAUAAGGGGUCCUUGGCUAAGAGGAGACUCUACCUCAGGCCCCCUGGUGUAAUAAACUGCACUCCACUAUCUGCAUUGUCUUUCUGAGUGAGUUUGUUUCCCAGAACGCGUGGCUACAACAGGAACACUGGUCGUGGACUGACUGGCGGGGAGGACUGGACCAUCACACUCCUAGGGCCCAGGGAGCUCGGGGGAGGGGCUUUGACCCCUCUUGUCUUCUCCUGACC
Molecule: long non-coding RNA, 2037 nt
Organism: Bos taurus (domestic cattle)
Lineage: Eukaryota; Metazoa; Chordata; Mammalia; Artiodactyla; Bovidae
Source: Ensembl